Orcinus orca (killer whale) is the source of this 12186-nucleotide long non-coding RNA. RefSeq lists it as uncharacterized. The record is from RefSeq and is a predicted model, not a curated record. The transcript is spliced from 3 exons. Lineage: Eukaryota; Metazoa; Chordata; Mammalia; Artiodactyla; Delphinidae.
GCGAGGUCGGAGCCUCCGGGGCGGCUUCCCCCUCGCCUGUUGGCGCGCUCCGCAGGCGGGGCCUCCGGAGCCUGUGUUCCUUAACCCCAUCGCGCCCCGACUGAAGUCAACAGUAACAGACGCUCUGGACCAGGCGGCUCUCUAAACCGGGCACCUGGAGACCCCCCCUCUCACACCCGGACCCUGCCCUCGAGUCCCUCAAGAUCGGUGAGGGGAGACGACACAGACACAAGGCAGACAAUGUAUGACAGCGAGAUAAGAAAGCACGGAAGAGGAAGGGACUGAAGGGAGGAGGCCCUGCUUUGCGGAGGUGAUGGCACUGAGUUGGGUCGUAAGGGAGGCAAUAGGCAUUGGCCAGGAGGAGAGAGAAACGGAUUCCAGGCAGCUGGAAGAACAAAUGCAGAGGUUCGAGGGCAUAAAAACUUCCAGCAGAUUCGAGCCUGGAAGGACGGGAGGCAGAACUGCCCUUGUGGGGAGCAAGGUUUUAGGGUCCAGUUCGUCGCAGAAAAUUUAGGACCUUGAGAGUGAAGGAGUGCAGCUGAUUUCAUCCAGCAAACCCCUGGCCUAGAGGGGAGAAAAGGCUUGCCUGAGAUUGCACAGGAGUGGAUGGCUGAGCUGGCCUGCAACCCAGUAUCAGCAACCCUGACAGGGCUCAACCGAUCACUCUAUUUGGGCGGCCUCUGGAAGAGCAGCAGCAUCUCUUACAGGUACACUUGACAGUGAAUCGUGGGUUUGCAGGGAACUGUGACAAAACUGCCUCCAGCAAGACCCCUGUGCAGAGCUCUGCAGACAGGAUGGUGUGACGAAUGAAAGGAGAGAUUCGCUGGAGCCAUACAAGCCAUGGAGGUGACAGGUUUGUUGAAAUGCAGAUGGGGAUGGGUCACAGGUCUUGGAAAGCUGUAAAUGCCAGUGACACCGCAGGAGAGUGUACCCUGCUCUGCUCUGAAACCACAAUGAGUUGAGCUCAGUACCCCCUGUGCCACUGUCUUUGACCCUCAUUUCCUUUGCACAUGCUAUGUCUGCUGUUUGGAACAUCUUUCCCUCUAGUGGGCCUGGCUCCUACUCAUAGGUCACCUCCUCCAGAAAAACUUUGUUGCACCUGCACUGAGUUAAGCCUUCUCUGACCUCAGCCCCAGCCCAAGCCUAGCCUGUCUAUUGAAGGAGUGGGUGGUGGGUGUUAACAUUAACUAGAAGGUGUGCCCAGGAGAAGGGCAUGGUACCCACUGGAGGCUCAGGGCCAGUUGACGACAGUGAUAAAUUCCCUUUAGGACUGACUGACUUGCAGGUGCCUGGGGACACCAUCAUAGGAGCUUAGGUUGUGCACAUUGAAGGGUAUGUUAUUGCUGUGAGGCACAGAGGCGUUAUUUCUCUCAGUUGGAGAGUCAUAUUGGGAUGAGGGUUUCCUAACCCUUUUCUGACUCACAAAACACUCCUAGGAAAUUUAAAAUAAUUUUGUCAUUUUUCGAUAGUAUAUGAUAAAGAAAUAUUUGAUUUUGGCUAAAAAUAUUUAUUUUUUAUCUUUAGAAUAUGAAAAGUUGGGACUUCCCUGGUAGCGCAGUGGUUAGGAAUCCGCCUGCCAAUGCAGGGGACACAGGUUCGAGCCCUGGUCCAGGAAGAUCCCAUGUGCUGUGGAGCAACUAAGCCCAUGCGCCACGGAGCAACUAAGCCCAUGCGCCACAACUACUGAGCCUGCGCUCUGGAGCCCGCGAGCCACAACUACUGAGUCCAUGCACCACAACUACUGAAGCCGACGCACCUAGAGCCUGUGCUCUGCAACAAGAGAAGCCUCCACAAUGAGAAGUCCCCGCAGCCCAACGAAGAGUAGCCCCCGCUCGCCGCAACUAGAGAAAGCCCACGUGCAGCAAUGAAGACCCAACGCAGCCAAAUAAAUAAAUUUAUAAAAGAAAAAAUAUGAAAAGUUGUAUUAUAAAAUUCGCUUUUUAAAAUUUUAGGUAAUAUUCAUAAUAUAUGAAGGCAAAUUUCUUUUUUUUUAAUUUAUUUUUUAAUUUUUGGCUGCCUUGGGUCUUCAUUGCUGCACGCAGGCUUUCUCUAGUUGCGGCGAGCAUUGCGGUGCACAGGCUUCUCAUUGCGGUGGCUUCUCUUGUUGCAGAGCACAGCCUCCAGGAUCGUGGGCUUCAGUAGUUGCAGCACAUGGGCUCAGUAGUUGUGGCUUGCGGGCUCCAGAGCGCAGGCUCAGUUGCUCCACAGCAUGUGGGUCUUCCCAGACUAGGGCUCGAACCCGUGUCCCCUGCACUGGCAGGCGGAUUCUUAACCACUGCGCCACGAGGGAAGCCCUAAAGACCUACUGUUUUUAGAAUGUAGUUUGAAACUUGCACCUGGGUUAGGCAUCUCCCAGCAGGCAAAGUGAUUAUUUAAAAGCCUAAAUCAGUUCUUGUUACUCUACUUAAAACCCUUCUAAGGCUUUUCAGCAUAUUCAGAGCAAAUCCCUAAACCUUUUCUGUGGCCUUCAAGGCCCUGCUUGGUCUGGCUCCUGCUCACAUGUCUGACCUUACCUCUUUCUACUCUUUGAUAAAACCUUAUUCGCAGCACUGAAAUCACUGCCAAACUCAGUCCUACUGUGGAACCUUUGCCCUGGCUAUUUCCUAUUCCUGGUGCUCUUCCUCCUGAACUUUUAGGGACUGACUCCUGCCCACAAGUCAGAUUUCAGAAGGCCUUCCCUGUUCACCCAAUCUGAAAUAGCUCCCAUCCCAAUUAAUGUCUACAAAUCAUCCAGUUGUUGUUCCUUUCGGAGCACUUAUCACUCUCAGAAAGGAUCAUGUUUCUGUGUUUGUUUUGUUGUGUAUGGCCUAUCUCUCCGAUCAGGCUGGAAGCUUCAGCAGAGCCAGGACCAAGUCAGCCUUGAUCCCAGCUCUGUCUUCAAACACCUAGAACAGGGCCUGGCAUCAACUGACUAGGUGAUCAGUAAAUAUUUACUGCUGUUGCUGUUAUCAAAAAUAUACAAAAACAGGGACUUCCCUGGUGACACAGUGGUUAAGAAUCCACGUGCCAAUGCAGGGGACACGGGUUUGAGCCCUGGUCUGGGAAGAUCCCACAUGCUGCGAAGCAGCUAAGCCCAUGCGCCACAACAACUGAGCCUGCGCUCUAGAGCCCGCGAGCCACAACUACUGAAGCCCGCGUGCCUAGAGCCCAUGCUCUGCAGCAAGACAAGCCACCUCAAUGAGAAGCCCACACACUGCAAUGAAGACCCAAUGCAACCAAAAAUAAAAUUAAAAUAUAUAUAUAUAUAUACACACACACACACACACAUAAACAGCUCUCAUUACUCAGUACUUAGAAGUUUUGAAUUCAAAAUUGUAACCAUUUUUAACUGAAAAAUAAAUCACAUUCCCGUAGCCAAAAAUUCAAAUAGUAUAAGAGUGAGCCUCUUCACUUCACACCUUCAUAUUGGUUAGCAUAGGACAGGCUAUUCAGUGGUCUUUUGGUUAUCUAUUACUUAAUACAACUAUUUCUUAAUAGCUCUCAUGAUUCUGAGUGUUGCCUGAGCUCAGAUGAUUCUUGCUUUGAGUCUCUUACAUGGUCGUAGUCACAACUAGGACUGGAAUCAUAUGAAGACUCAGCCGGGUUGGUCGCUAAUAAUGGCUCACUUAUUUAGCCAGCAGGAGAUGCUGGCUGUUGGCUGGAAGGUGGAUUCGAGCUGAAAACCUGAAAACGAAAGCCCUACAUGUGGCCCCACCACAUAACUUAGGUUUCUCAGAGCACAGUGGCUAGAUUCUGAGAGGAUGCAUCCCAAAACAAGCAUUCCAACAGACAGCAAGAAAGCUACUGGUCUCUUAAGCCUUGACCCCAGAAGCUUACACAGCAUCACUUUCUCUGUAUUCUACUGGCCGAAGCAGUCCCAGUCCAGGCCAGAUUCAAGGACAGAGACCCCAGCUUUCAGUGAAAGGAGCGUCAAAGAAUUUCUGGCCAUCUUUAAUCCACUAUAUGUGGUACCAAAUAAACCUUCAAAUUUCAGUGGCUUAAAACACAAAAAUGUAUGUUUCCCUCACAUUCCAGUGUGGGGUAGACCAUGUGGUGUACUAUUCUCCUUCAACAGUGACUCAGAUCCAAGCUGCUUCCUCCCAGCAUCUCCAUCAUCUCAGAGUUCUUUGAUCCCAACUGUUCGGAUGGGAGAGAGGUUAGGGGUGGGGUGGGGGGGGGGAACAUUCACACUGAUACUUAAUUGCCUUGGACCUGAAGUGACACAUUCUUCUGCCCACCUCCUCGUUGGUGAGAUCACAUCUACUAGGAAGGCUGGAAAAUGUAGUCUCCCGUGUUCCCUGGAAGAGAAAAAUCGGUGUGAACGCAUCAUUAUUGCUGAUACACACCAAUGUCCCAGUCUCCUUCUCUAGAAGUAUCACCAUGAACAAUUUAGUGUGUAUCCUUUCAGAAAUAUUUAUAUAUAUACGAGACUAUAAACACACAUGUAGCAUUUACACGCUGUUCCACAUUUGCUUCUUUAUGUAACUGUAUUUUCAAUGUCUUGCAGAACUUUCCAUAUCAGACUACAUAGAUCUACAUCAUUCCUUUUUUUUUUUUUUUUUAGUUUCACAUCAUCUUUAUUAUUGCUUAAAAAAAAUUAAACAAUGACUAUCAAAAUCUUUUUUUACUUUCAGGAAAUUUGAGGAUUUUUUUUGAAUUUUAGAAUUUUAUUUUUUUAUACAGCAGGUUCUUAUUAGUUAUAUAUUUUAUACAUAUUAGUAUAUAUAUGUCAAUCCCAAUCUCCCAAUUCAUCACACCACCACCACCCCGCCAUGGCUUUCCCCCCUUGGUGUCCAUACAUUUGUUCUCUACAUCUGUGCCUCUGUUUCUGCCCUGCAAACCGGUUCAUCUGUACCAUUUUUCUAGGUUCCACAUAUAUGUGUUAAUAUACAAUAUUUGUUUUUCUCUUUCUGACUUACUUCACUCUGUAUGACAGUCUCUAGAUCCAACCACGUCUCUACAAAUGACCCAAUUUCAUUCCUUUUUAUGGCUGAGUAAUAUUCCAUUGUAUAUGUGUACCACAUCUUCUUUAUCCAUUCGUCUGUCGAUAGGCAUUUAGAUUGCUUCCAUGACCUGGCUAUGUAAAUAGUACUGCAAUGAACAUUGGGGUGCAUGUGUCUUUUUGAAUUAUGGUUUUCUCUGGGUAUAUGCCCAGUAGUGGGAUUGCUAGGUCAUAUGGUAAUUCUAGUUUUAGUUUUUUGUUUGUUUUGUUUUGUUUUGUUUUUGCGAUACGCAGGCCUCUCACUGUUGUGGCCUCUCCCGUUGCAGAGCACAGGCUCCAGACGCACAGGCUCAGUGGCCAUGGCUCAUGGGCAUAGCCACUCCAUGGCACGUGGGAUCUUCCCAGACUGGGGCACGAACCCGUGUCCCCUGCAUCAGCAGGCGGACUCUCAACCACUGCGCCACCAGGGAAGCCCUGAAUGGCUAUAAUUUUAAAAAAGUUGUUUUAAUAGAAAGUAAUACGCAUUGGCAAGGAUGUUAAGAAAUUGGAUGAAUUGGGAGAUAUGGAUGGACAUAUAUACACUAUUGAUACUAUGUAUAAAACAGAUAACUAAUGAGAACCUACUGUAUAGCACAGGAAACUCUACUCAGUGCUCUGUGGUGACCUAAAUGAGAAGGAAAUCCAAAAAAGGGGAUAUAUGUAUACGUAUAGCUGAUUCACUUUGCUGUACAGUAGAAACUAACACAGCAUUGUAAAGCAACUGUACCCAAUAAAGUUAAUUUUUAAAAAAAAAGAAAGAAAGAAAUUGGAACAACCUUUGGACAUUGCUAGUGGGAAUGUAAAAUGGUACAGCUGCUGUGGAAAAGUUUGAUGGUUUCUCAAAAGGUUAAACAUGUAAACUACUGUAUGACCCAGCAAUUCCACUGCUAGAUUUACUGAAGGCAAGGACUCAAAGAGAUAGUUGUAUACCCAUUUCAUAGUAACAUUAUUCAUAAUAGACAAAAGGUGGAGACAAUUGGUGUCCAUCAACAGAUGAAUGGAUAAACAAAAUGUGGUUUAUACCUACAAUGGAAUGUUAUUCAGCCAUAAAAAGGAAUGAAGUUCUGAUACACGCUACAACUUGUAUGAACCUUGAAAACUUACACUACGUGAAAUAAGUCAGAUACCAAAGGACAAAUAUUUUAUGAUUCCACUUAUAUAAAAUAUAUAGAAUACUCAAAUUCGUGGAGACAAUGUAGAUUAGAGGUUACUGGGGCUGUGUAGAGGAAAUAGGUAGUUAUUACAUAAUGUUUACAAAAUUUGUUUGAGAUGAUGAAACAGUUUUGGAAAUAGUGGUGAUGGCUGUGCAACAUUGUGAAUGUAAUUAAUGCCACUGAAUUACUGUACACUUAAAAAUGGUUAAAGUGGUAAUUUUUAUGUUAUAUACACAAAGUAAAAAGAGAAAACAGAUAGAGAGAAUAGUAUACACAAAGUGAAAGGACACUAUAUACAAAGUAAAAAGACACUAUACACAAAGUAAAAAGAGAAGCAGAUAGAGAGAUGGAUGAGGAGAAAAUACUUGCAACAUGUAUAACAAAUUAGUAAAAUCCAGAAGAUAUAAAGAACUUCCACAAGUCAACUAAAGAACAGAAAACCCAAUAUAAAAAUGGGCAGUGACUUUUAUCAGAAGAAGAAAAACAAAUGGUCCACAAAAAAUAAAACUAUGCAAAACUAGUGAAAUGUAAGUCAAAGUAUGACUGAGAGGUGAAGUUUCACUCAUCAGAUUGGUAAAAAUUAAGAAAUUUAUUAAUAUUUAGAGGUGAGGGGAAAUGGAACCAUCAUUCCUGCUGGUGGGAACGUAAACAGGGCUAACCUCUUGGGAAGGCACUUUGGUUAUACUACACACACACACAUUCAAACACACCCUUGGCCCCAGCAGUUGCACUCCAGUAUAUGACAGGCUGAAUGGUUACAUAUAUGGUAUAUCCACAAGGUGGAAUUCAAUGCAAUCCAAAGAAGAAGCUGGAUCUGUGUGUCCUAACAUUGGAAAUAUAUGUCUGAAAUACUUCAUAAUACUUUCUAGACUUCCCUGGAGGUCCAAUGGUUAGGACUCUGCGCUUCCACCACAGGCGGCCCGGGAUUGAUCCCUGGUCAGGGAACUAAGAUCCUGCAAGUCUCGAGGCUCGCCCAAAAAUAAAAUAAAAUAACAGUAAUCAUAAUACUUUUUAAAAUCCAACAGGUUUAUUUUUUGUUUCUAAUGUUUAUGUUUUGUUUCUAAAUGAUGAGAUUAAAUGUUCAGACUGCUGUUUGCAAGCAGUUUUCACAAAUGAUACCGGGGAGAGUGAGCUGGCUUUAUUCUCAGAACAUGAAAAGCCAAAUGAAGUAUGAUCAUCACAUCCACUUUUUUUUUCCUUUUUCUAGCUGUAGCUUUGCAGUCUUAGUGACAUCUGGAUGUGCCGUGUAUACAUUUUGAUUGGAUAAAUGCAAGAAUCUGGCAACAAUCAUCUUUAGCCAAAUUUAUAGGUUUAUUUUUAUGCUUCUCUUUAAAUAGUUGUUUAUGUCUAUAACCAAUGGACCACCAAAGAUUAUAAAUUAAAUAAUACAGAACUAAAAAUUAAACAGUCUAAAAGCAUGAAAUGGUCAAAAUGCUUGGGGUUUGAGGGAAGUGAGUUCAUCUGUAGCUAAAGGGGUCCUGGGACCCCCAACCUUCCCUACACACCACGUGCACGCACUGUUGACUAUUGCAUUAAAGUGAAAACAGUGUUUGGAAUGGGAUGAACUGAAACUACACCUACCAAGGAGAGAAACUUGUGAUUUGGGCAUCAUUCAAUAUGGGCGAAUGUGAACAAUGCUUUGAAAUGGGCAGGAAAGAUGACCUCUUCUCAUUUUCCAAAAAGGCAGAUCAAAGUUAUAUGAAUAAGAGGGAUAGAAACUUCUUUGGUAGAUGAGAUGUGGCAGAGGUGGGGUGGAAUAAAGUGGCAAGAGGGUCCUUCACAAGGAAUUUAAAUCCUCAAGAUGUUGAAGUAUAUUUGGUUUUAGCCGUGUUCAAGAGAAAACCAAGCACAGCCCAAGAGGAAGCUUCUUCCCACAGUACUCACCCUCCCUCUGGGCAGCAGGCAGGCCACAGCUCGACCCUAUGCAAAGCCACCAGGCUCAGCGAAAAUAGGUGGCUAUGAAAUUCCCAAGGCACUAGCAGGGACUAGGGACUGGAUGAGCUGGUGACACAACUGGAAGAGCUUCUAGGGAGGAGACCAUGAGAGAUGAGGGGGAGACAGGUGGGAUCGCCUCUGCAGCCUCCUUUGUAAGGCCCCAGCCAUUAUCGAGGGCUCGGGGGCGGUGGGGGGGGAAGGGGCAGAGUAAUUGAGACCCGCUUUUCACUUACAACCCAUCAUUCCUUCCAACUUUCUAAAGUUUUAGGCUGCUGACCUAUGUGAAAAGCAGCUGAUCCAGUGUGAUGCCGUUUGAGGACAGUGAGUGAAGAGGUACCUGACCCAGGUGAGGAGUGUCCCACCAUCUCAUGGUCAGAGGUGGUCAGUGCCUAGUUCUUACUUGGAACACAGCAGUGAAGAGUGGUUGCCAAAAGAAAAAAAAAAAGAUUCAGUGUUAAAUACACUGAGUUUGGGCUUCCCUGGUGGCGCAGUGGUUAAGAAUCCACCUGCCAAUGCAGGAGACACGGGUUCGAGCCCUGGUCCGGGAAGAUCCCACAUGCCGCGGAGCAACUAAGCCCGUGCGCUACAACUACUGAGCCUACGCUCUGGAGCCCGCGAGCCACAGCUACUGAAGCCCGUGCGCCUAGAGCCUGUGCUCCGCAACAAGAGAAGCCACCGCAAUGAGAAGCCCGCACACCGCAAUGAAGAGCCAACGCAGCCAAAAAUAAAUACAUAAAUGAAUUUCAAAAAAUAAAUAAAUACGCUGAGUUUAAGGAACCAGAAGCAGACAUCCCAGAGGCCAGAGAAAGGCCUAAACCAUAAAUUGGGGAAUCAGCUUAUGGAUGGAAGUGAAUGAGGUCAUCCAAAGAGAGUAUGCAGAGUGAAGAGAGGGCCUGUGAUAGAACCUGAAUGACACCAGUAUUUCAGUGUGUCCUAACCCAAUCAAAGAUCACCAGGGACAAAUCCAUAGUCCAAUGAAGUCAGGUUUAUUGACCCAUUGCUAGGAGGAAGACAACACAUCAGAGGAAAAAUGAGAUGUCCUACCAAACACAAAGGAAUAGAGAGAGUUCUUAUAGGAUUUGAGAGAGAGGUGGAAUUAGGUGAAAUUUAAAUGAGGCAAUAUUUUGAUGGCUCAAAGCAAAGCAGAACUGCGUCUGGACUGCUUAGUGGACUCAAGGUCCUGUUUCCUUGGAAACAAUAAAGUUAAGGCAGAUGUGGAAUAUAUGUUUAGAAAUCCCUUAUCUGAGUCUCUGCACCUGGAUUGUAAAUCCUGUCCUUUUAGUGAUUUAACUCCUCCAGGCAAGAGUUUCAUUCCUACUUAUAUAAUUUCAAACAGCAAAAUUUCUGACAGUCUAUGAUUUUAGAAAACAAAGUUCCUCGGUAAGAAAGAAGUAGUCACUCAAAGGAGGGGGUUGUUAUGACAUUUUAUAGUUGCAGUAUAUCCUUGGGGAAAAUAUUGUUUCUUAUUAAUUUUGCAGCUGGCUUUAUCUGUGCCCGUUAUUCCAGCCUGAUUAACAUCACAGCAGAUUUUUACAGUCUGAACUAAUUUUUAGGUUUUCAAGGGACACACAAUGGAGGUGGAAUCUGCAAAGCCUAAGUGUAGUGAGUAGGCAGUGUGGACAAAAAAGUGUUGCCUGACAAGUCAGUAAACAAAGAAUGCUUCCUGCCAUCCAGCCAUCAGGCACUGCAGGCACCCCUGAACGGUGCACCCUGAGGGGAAUUCUGGAUGGAGAAAAACAGGAUACUAGCCCUAGAUAGUUAAGAUGCAUACCAAAGGAAUAAUUUCAGUGAGCCCAGACUCUUGCAUCUUCCCAUGCAUAGGCACUAAAACAAUUAACUGGAGAUGUCUGGUUUCUUGUGUGUGAUUAGCAGUAAUCUUUGGAUGUUCACUACAUGUUUUUUUCAGGAAAAACUCCUUGCUCCUCCCUUACGUCUUUGGAACAGUCCUUCAGAGCUAUCUGAGAGGCUGCCAUCCCCGGCUGUAGUCCUCAGUAAGGCUGCGAAUAAAACAAAGUUCUCAAAGUUUUAGUCAACAGUAGGAAGAAAACUAAAUUGUUAGGUCUCACAAAGCGGGAAGGUGAUUGUUGGUAUUGAACACUAAGAGGUCUAGUCUAGUAUAGUGUGCCGCUGUCAAAUAUGGUAGCCAUUAGCCAUAGGUGGCUAUUUAAAUGUAAUUAAAAGUAAUUAAUUGAAUUUAAAAAAUAAACUCAGUAGAAGUUUUUCUUCCUCCAUGGCUCUUAGCCUCAUGUCAAAUGUCCAGUAGCCACAGAUUAGACGCUACCCUAUUGGACAAUGCAGCUAUAGAAUAUUUCCAUUAUUAUAAACAGUUCUUUUGAACAGCAGUAAGAGAACUCAGAGUCCCAGGCGACGGUGACGCCUGGGAGUGCAGUCUCCUAAGAGUGAUGGGGGUGGAAGCCCUGUGGGAGGUGCAGACACGUAGUGUGUAGUAUUCUUUCUAAAACUCAGUCCAACAGCGCUACUCUCUCCCUAUGACAGCUAUCGUGUAACUCAUGCGUACCUCGAACCCACAGCCCAGGCUCAGAGAACGAGGCUCCACCACUUCAUCGCGUUUCCCUGCCUGCACAAACUCACUACCGUCCCCACACUCCAUCUCCCCACAUGCCCCAGGCCCUUUUCCCGCGACUCUGGCUCUUGGACUUCUGGGAAAUGUAGUUUUAACAGCGUUCCAACUCGGAAAAGUUCUAGCAGCGAAUUGAGGCUCCCAAGAGGCAGUGCACGGGCCGCCAUAUCUGCCCUGAAGGGCGCCAAAGUCGGCACCCCUACUAAAGUACAGCGGUAACUGAGAUGCUGGAGUCCUGGGAGACCGCGCUGUGCCUCUCCCUGCCAUUCCUUAGGUCUCCGCCGCUCCGGAGUUGUAGAAACGCCUCAACCCAAGCAGAGCAGACAGGGCCCCAGGGAACCAUAGUAACUGGGCGGCCACAACCACUAGGGGACUUGAAGGCAGCGUCCGACGGCGAAGAGCCAGAAGGCCAUUGGGCGGCCCUUUACGCGGAGCGCACGCGCAAAUGCUGGGCCUCAAGGCUUCCGUAAACACCAAAGAGCGCCUGCGCAAACGGAGCGCCUCGGGAUGGACACGAGGGGGCGCCUUAGCAAAGGCUUAGAGAGAUGGAGUCUGGAGGAGUCCCUAUUCCUCAUCCUUCUCCUACCCAACCUGGGCCUAGUGGAGAAAGGCCCUGUUCUGUUGAGAUGACUACCAAAGGCCAGAAACUAAGGAGGAACUGGAGAAUCUUGAAGACAGAAGACAGUGUUGCUGGAGCUGUACAGACCCUGCUUCUCAGGAGAGGGGCCCAGCCCUCCAGGCUCCAAGUGAACCCAGACUGUUUCUUUUCUUCCACGUCAGAAGAGGGAGGCACUGCCUCCAGGUCAAGGAGCAGAGGCUUAGGAAAGAGGCCAUGCCUUGGGGACAGCUGGCAGACGGGGGUUAAGGGGCCUCAGGAGACAAGAACUGAUAGCAGCUGUGGCGUUUAUUGAGUGCUCAUUGCUUGCUGGGCACCGUGCUGAGCUCUCCACGUGCGUGAACUCACUUCGUCCCCGAGGCAAUGGUGUAAGUCCUACUAGCCUACUCAUUCUAGAAAUGGGAGUACUGAGACACAGAGAGGUUAAGUAACUUGUUCUAGAUCACACAGUAAGAGGUUUUAACCCAGACAGCCUGGCUCCAUAGCCCAGGCUCUUAACCAUUGUGGUAGACUGCUGAGCAGGGUAUUUCACCCUGUCUAUUCCUCCUCCUCUUCUGUCCUUCCCUCCCCAUCCUCCAGUCCCUGUACCCUAGAGUCCUGGGAGCUUCUCUCUGGGCCUUGUGGGGUCUUGCUGCCCAGGGUGCUCCCAGGCUUGGGGGAAAGAGACUAACACAGCUCCACUGCAACCCCCCCACCAUGCAGGACUUCACAAUGUACAGAGCCCAUCCACCUGCCCCAGGCCGGUGGAGGGGCAUCUUGAGCACCACCCCUUCGACAGGAAGACAGACCAGAGAGGUGCAGGGCCUUGCCCAAGGUCGGCAGGGCCCAGGGUGGAACCAUGGAGACUCCUCUUUGGGAGGGCCCAGGCCCAGAUGGCCAGCACCCCCUCUGCAGGCUGGGUCCUUCUGCUGAUGAUGUCUUUGGGGCACUGCCGCCUGCA